CCGCGCCCCCCGGCCUCCCAGCGCCUCGCCUCCCAUCGGGGCCACACGCGGGCGCGCACUCACGCCCACCCUCCUGCCCGGUGCGAGAAGAUGGCCGUUUCUGCCUCAUAUAAAAGCUCUUUGUUGCGGUCACACAAAAGCGGCCAAGCCCCACUUUUCCAGUAGGCCCUUUGGACAAAUCGAAGGAACUCAGCUGAACUUCCAAAUGGCCCUAAACGCCAGAUCGGUGGGAGCAGCUAAAACAGAGAGGGAAGAGCAGGCCUCCCGCGCCCAUCUACCAAAACCUCUGGCAAUAUCCAAGUAUUCAUCCAGGAGCGGGAGCUGAGACCAUUCCUAAGGGAAGAAGGAAAAGGAAAACCCACUUUUACUAUCAAGGCCCAAAGGGGAUAUUAAAUAUUCACAUUGUUGUAGGGUUUCUCCCCUUAAUCAGGGUAGAAACAUAAUGCGGAAAAGUCUGGAUCCACCAAAAAGAAAAAGAAAAAAGAAAGAAAAAUACCAACAAUAGCAACUUAAAAACAAAAACAUAACAAACCAGUUGCCAUCAGCCCAAAGUGGUAGUAGUAGCAGCAGCCGGCGCGUGUGAUCCACUUACUUGUCCGACUCUUGUGACAUGUUUGAUCCAAUGAACUUGCUCCGCUUUUCCUGGAGCCUCAGCCUCUGGUGAAACUGGACUUUCAAGUCUGUGCAGGUGAAGGUGUGUGAGAGCGCCCGAGAUGGCAGAACAAGAGCUACAGGUAAUUCUGCUUUUCCGUCCCCCCUCACCACUCUCGCUCGCUCGCCCGCUCGCGCCCUCACCUAGCCGGAAAGGUGGGAUAAGGGGGGGCCCCUCACAUGGGGCCCGAGCUCGGAGGCGGCCGGGCGGCGCGGAGUCCUCCUGGAUCGUGGCAAUGGGCAGACACAGAGCAGAAAGUGGCGGACUUGGGCGGCCACAGGUAACUUUCUCGCAAGGAGCUGAAUUCUUUCACUAAAGGGUACAAGCCCGAGGGACGAGCUGCGCGAUGAUUGGCUGGGGAGCUCCCUCAGGUGAGCUGCCAUUGGCAGAGGCGCGCUCAGGUAAGGCCCUUCUCCGAGUGCAGGUAACUCACUCCGAAGUUUACCCGAGUGGAGCGGCGGCAUGCUUGCAGCUCGGCGGCAGCCUGUGAGAGCUGAGGGUCAGUUCUUCGAGUAGAUCUCAAGCUGCGUUUUCCUCCUUCUCCAAAGCAGGGAUGGGAAGGUGGAGGCUACUGGUUGAAGAGAAGAAAGGGGUUGGGGGAAUGCAACACCUGCAAACACUAGGGAUUGUGGGUCGAGCGGAAGAGCUAAUGAGAGCCGAGCUCAGGUAUCCCAAGUCAACCAGAAUCAAAUGCGCAGUACGCCACAAGGCAUUUAAUGCCCACAGUAACAGGGCUGUUUGACAGUGGCAGAAGAGGACGGGACUAAAGUUACUUUGUGCUGAGAGGGGGAAAGAAGCACAAAGUUUGGUCUGUUGCGUAAUUGAAUUUUUAACACUCUUAUCCACAACAAACACUUUUUCGUGUCCUGCUGUGUAAAAGACAUCAGAUAUAUUACAGAUUUUCAAACAGGUGAGCAUCCUUUUACGAGCUGGGCAGGUGGGGAGUGGCGUGGUUUUGAUGGAGUGAGGAGAUUUGGUUGAAUGAACGCUAAGAUGGCCAGACGCACCUCUUCGAUCUCAACUCUGCAGCCUGGGAUUCCAGAGCUGCAAACAACCACUGAAUUCGUUCUGUAAACCUGUUGUCAUUUGACGUUUCCAGGCAGGCAUCAACAUUUACAUUGUAAUUCAAUAGACGCUACUACUACAAAGGAGCUUUAUUCUUCCAGCUUAAUAUGGUUGCUGCGGGAACACUGCAGGAUGAAACUGACUUUUUUUGUGGUAAUGUUUCUCCUGGUUGGGAACAACGCAAAUUAGCAAAGGCGUAAUUUAUAACCGCUGCUACCAAAGAGUGAAGUAUUUGUGGAAGUUCUGACUGGAAUCUAGCUCGUACAUAUGGAUUGUGGAAAUAAAGGAGGACGUGGAAAGCUUGCCAUAUUUUAUUUCAAGUUAAUACUAAAGCUGCCAGACUUAAUACAACUUUCUUUUAAUCUUUAUGGAUCACAUAUUUUCUGAAAAUUACAUGAUAAAACAAGGUUUGGUUUGUUCCAUGUGUCCAUUUUCAACAAUAAAUUUCAAAAUUGUAUUUUUAAAAAACAAUAUAAACACACACUUUAAAGAAAUAAUAUAUUUUAAGACAAUGCAGGUACUAUUUUAAUAUAAUAUUUUAAGAUAAUGCAAUACCUAUCAUGUUCCUCUCCUUUUUAGAGGCAGCCAUAUUCUGCUUUUAUCUGUCUCUUCUGUCAUUUACCUCCCUAUUUCUAAAUAAUUUGUACUGCCAUCUCUUGAUUUGCCAAUAGAUGUUGUGCUCUGACUACCUGUUGCUUCAGAUUAGGAUUUAGCUCUUUCAUGCCAAGCAACUUCUCCUUCCAACACAGCACUUUCACAGUUUAGGAGCUAAGUAAGUGACUAUGCCAAUAGCAAUGACAACACAGCCAAUAGUGUACUAUUCUUGUUUUCUUCCUUAUAAAACCUUGUAUCUAUUUACUUAGUUUGUUAUGCCCCAUCCUGAUAUUUUUCUACAACUGAUCUAUCAAAUGACUAUCAUGUUUAUUUUCCAAAUGAUCAAACAAUCAAUUCCAAUUUUGCCCUGAAAAC
This 2686-nucleotide long non-coding RNA is filed under the name Homo sapiens (human). RNAcentral describes it as "non-protein coding lnc-NCALD-1:2". Lineage: Eukaryota; Metazoa; Chordata; Mammalia; Primates; Hominidae. The record is from RNAcentral.